Long non-coding RNA from Octopus sinensis (East Asian common octopus), 203 nucleotides. RefSeq lists it as uncharacterized. NCBI's taxonomy places the organism in Eukaryota, Metazoa, Mollusca, Cephalopoda, Octopoda, Octopodidae. The transcript is spliced from 3 exons. The record is from RefSeq and is a predicted model, not a curated record.
UGUCACCCAAAAUUAUGACCCUAGAAUCGAUCUAUUGCAUUUCAAUCUGUUUUAGGGUUAGGGGGAAGGGUAUCUUUUUUUCUUCACAAAUGUAAAUAAACCCAAUCUGUUUCUUAAACGCGGGACAUAUUCAAACGGCACAGACUGUUUUUUACCUCAAUAGACGGUCAUUGAUUGGUUGAAAUUACCGAAAUUGAAUAAAA